AAGUCGUAACAAGGUUUCCGUAGGUGAACCUGCGGAAGGAUCAUUAACACGUAUCCAAACGUUAAACAACCGUGAACAUAUGGUCGCCCCGCUCGCAUGGACAAGCCCAGUAAAUCAAGCCCCGGAAAGUUUUUGAUUUGGGACCUCUGUGCGCGUGAGAAAAACUGACAGCGAUUCAGGUCAAGUGACACGGCGUCCCCGGAGCGUCAAGGACGACUCUUCAAGAUUGCUAGAGGUCGCACCGACCGGCUUCCGUGUAUACUGAGCUUAACCCCACUUUAUUGCCUUGCCUGUAAGCAUCCAUACGGAUGGGCAGGCCCCCCGAACAACUGUUAACAAUGGAUAUCUUGGUUCUC
This 356-nucleotide unclassified non-coding RNA is filed under the name fungal sp. RNAcentral describes it as "partial internal transcribed spacer region". The stretch from base 1 to 46 matches the Rfam family "Eukaryotic small subunit ribosomal RNA", at positions 1786 to 1831 of the family's 1831-position model. The record is from RNAcentral. Lineage: Eukaryota; Fungi.